This 1422-nucleotide ribosomal RNA is filed under the name Salegentibacter sp. Its description in RNAcentral is "bacterial SSU rRNA". It matches the Rfam family "Bacterial small subunit ribosomal RNA". Lineage: Bacteria; Pseudomonadati; Bacteroidota; Flavobacteriia; Flavobacteriales; Flavobacteriaceae. The record is from RNAcentral.
AGGCGGGCACCCAUUUGCAGUCGAGGGGUAACAUAGAAAAGCUUGCUUUUCUGAUGACGACCGGCGCACGGGUGCGUAACGCGUAUACAACCUACCUUUUAGCGGGGAAUAGCCCAGGGAAACUUGGAUUAAUGCCCCAUAGUAUAUAGACUUCUCCUGAAGUUUAUAUUAAACAUUUAUGGCUAUUAGAUGGGUAUGCGUCCUAUUAGUUAGUUGGUAAGGUAACGGCUUACCAAGGCAGCGAUAGGUAGGGGUCCUGAGAGGGAGAUCCCCCCACACUGGUACUGAGACACGGACCAGACUCCUACGGGAGGCAGCAGUGAGGAAUAUUGGACAAUGGGCGAGAGCCUGAUCCAGCCAUGCCGCGUGCAGGAAGACUGCCCUAUGGGUUGUAAACUGCUUUUACAGAGGAAGAACCACCCCUACGUGUGGGGGUUUGACGGUACUCUGCGAAUAAGGAUCGGCUAACUCCGUGCCAGCAGCCGCGGUAAUACGGAGGAUCCAAGCGUUAUCCGGAAUCAUUGGGUUUAAAGGGUCCGUAGGCGGGCAGUUAAGUCAGUGGUGAAAGUCUUCCGCUUAACGGGAGAACUGCCAUUGAUACUGAUUGUCUUGAGUUAUUAUGAAGUGGUUAGAAUGAGUAGUGUAGCGGUGAAAUGCAUAGAUAUUACUCAGAAUACCGAUUGCGAAGGCAGAUCACUAAUAAUAUACUGACGCUGAUGGACGAAAGCGUAGGUAGCGAACAGGAUUAGAUACCCUGGUAGUCUACGCCGUAAACGAUGGUUACUAGCUGUUCGGCCCAAUUGAGGGCUGAGUGGUUAAGCGAAAGUGAUAAGUAACCCACCUGGGGAGUACGUUCGCAAGAAUGAAACUCAAAGGAAUUGACGGGGGCCCGCACAAGCGGUGGAGCAUGUGGUUUAAUUCGAUGAUACGCGAGGAACCUUACCAGGGCUUAAAUGUAGUCUGACAGGUCUGGAAACAGACUUUUCUUCGGACAGAUUACAAGGUGCUGCAUGGUUGUCGUCAGCUCGUGCCGUGAGGUGUCAGGUUAAGUCCUAUAACGAGCGCAACCCCUGUGGUUAGUUGCCAGCGAGUAAUGUCGGGAACUCUAGCCAGACUGCCGGUGCAAACCGCGAGGAAGGUGGGGAUGACGUCAAAUCAUCACGGCCCUUACGUCCUGGGCCACACACGUGCUACAAUGGUAGGGACAGAGAGCAGCCACUUCGCGAGAAGGAGCGAAUCUACAAACCCUAUCACAGUUCGGAUCGCAGUCUGCAACUCGACUGCGUGAAGCUGGAAUCGCUAGUAAUCGCAUAUCAGCCAUGAUGCGGUGAAUACGUUCCCGGGCCUUGUACACACCGCCCGUCAAGCCAUGGAAGCCGGGGGUACCUGAAGUCGGUCACCGCAAGAGCCGCCUAGGUAAAC